Molecule: long non-coding RNA, 2261 nt
Filed under: Lathyrus oleraceus (garden pea)
Lineage: Eukaryota; Viridiplantae; Streptophyta; Magnoliopsida; Fabales; Fabaceae
Description: Pisum sativum (pea) long non-coding RNA (PSAT_LNC030331)
Source: RNAcentral
AUUUUGAUAAAUAUUAGGAUAUAAGAAUAAAGGGGUAUAAAUAAAUUUUUAUCUAUUAUUAUUUAUUUCAAAUUUUCUUUUGCAGGUGUAUAUCUCUUUGAAAGAUUUUGUUCAGAAGCAUUCCUUAUCUUAUUAUACUAUCCAUACACAACUACAAUAAAAUCUUUAUUAUUCUUUUUAUUUUCUCUCUCUUCAAUGUUUCAACAUUUAUUCUUCACUCAAAAAACCUAAACUUAUAAAAAAUCUUCAUUGCAUUCUUCUUAUCUUCAAGAACGUCACCAACCUUCUUUUCGACCUAGAAAUCCUUCACCGACAAUCAUCAAAAUUCAAAAAAAAUGUCAAACACAUAGUCUUCAAUUUUUUUUAAAAAAUAUUACAGGAUCAAAUAAGUAGAGUCGAAAUCAUAAAAAAUCAAGGCAAUGGUUGAUAAAAUUAAAAAUAGAAUGGAGUAUAUUUUUAAAUGGAGUAUAUCUUCAACUUCAAGUCCUAACUUUAAAAAAAACUUAAACUCAUUUAUCCAGAAUCUUCAUUGCAUUCUUCUUAUCUUCAAGAACGUCAUCAACCUUCUUUUCGACCUAGAAAUCGACAAUCAUCAAAAUUUAAAAAAAAAAGUCAAAUACAGAUUUUUCAACUUAAAAAAAAUAUUAUUACAGGAUCAAAUAAGUAAAGUCGAAAUCAUGAAAAAUCAAGAGAAUGGUUGAUAAAAUUAAAAAUAGAAUGGAGUAUAUUUUUAAAUGGAGUAUAUCUUCAACUUCAAGUCCUAACUUUACAAAAAAACUUAAACUCAUUUAUCCAGAAUCUUCAUUGCAUUCUUCUUAUCUUCAAGAAGAUCAUCAACCUUCUUUUCGACCUAGAAAUUGACAAUCAUCAAAAUUCAAAAAGAAUGUCAAAUACAAAUUUUUCAACUUAAAAAAAAUAUUAUUACAGGAUCAAAUUAGUAAAGUCGAAAUCAUGAAAAAUCAAGAGAAUGGUUGAUAAAAUUAAAAAUAGAAUAGAGUAUAUUUUUAAAUGGAGUAUAUCUUCAACUUCAAGUCCUAACUUCACAAAAAACUUAAACUUAUUUAUCCAUAAUCUUCAUUGCAUUCUUCUUAUCUUCUAGAAUAUCACCAACCUUCUUUUCAACCUAGAAAUCCUUCACCGACAAUCAUCAAAAUUCAAAAAAAAAAUGUCAAACACAAAUUUUUCAAAUAAAAAAAAAUACAGGAUCAAAUAAGUAAAGUCGAAAUCAUGAAAAAUCAAGACAAAAUGGUUGAAAUCAAGACAAAAUCCUUCACCUACUCUUGUUCUUUAUUUUUUUCUUGAUAAAGAUAAACAACUUUUAUUAGACCUGCAAAACCCAAAACACAUUAUGACAAAUUAGCAAAAUAAAAUAAAAUGGUGAAGAGAGAUUUAUACAAAUAAGAAUAACUAUUGGAGUUUUAUAUUUUUUCCUACUCUUGUUCUUUAUUUUUUAUUUUUGAUAAAUACGACCAACUUUUAAUAGAUUUGCGAAGACAAUACACAGUAUAACAAAUAAAAAAAAAUUGGUGAAGACUCUAUACAAAUAAGAAUAACUAUUAGAGUUCUAUAUUUUUACCUAUUCUUAUUCUUUAUUAUUUUCUUGAUGAAAAUGAACAAUUUUGAAUGGAUCUGCAAAACACAACCGUAUGACAAAUCAGAAGGAAAAAAGUUGAAAAAGAAGUUGAAAUGACCGUGGAAAAAGUGGUGAUGAGAAAGAGAAAGACAGAGAGUUUGAUAUAAGAGAGAAAUUUCGAUUGAAGAAAAAAAUGAAGUGAAAGAGAAAAAAGUUGGAAACAUAAGGAAAAAAAAUAGAAGACGAGUGAAUGUAAUAAGAGAGAGAGAGUUUUGACAAAGAAAAGAAGAUUGGUUGGGUGACACAUAAAUAUUAAGGACAAAAUAGAAACUUCCAAAAUCAUCGAACCCUUACUUAUAUUUGAUUUGUAGGGAAAUGGUUCUCUCUUAGAAAUAUAUAUAGUUUGUUCUAUUCUUUCUUAAAUCGAAAACUUUCUAUAAAAAAUUAUUCAUACAUAAUAAUCAUUAAAGAAAAAUAGAUAAAAUAGGAUAGUGAUACUAUAAAAGAAAAUAAGGUAAACAUAAUAUUAUAUUCAUUUAUGUUAAUUUAAAUUAAUGGUUGAAAUCUUAUUGAUAAGUUGAAUUUGAUUUUAAAGAUCAGGUUAGUUUUUCACUAUGAAAAAACACAUUGAAGAAGAAAGAAUUUUUUUUUAAAAUUCAAUAUAUAUAUAUAUAUAUAUAUAUAUAUA